Molecule: ribosomal RNA, 379 nt
Filed under: uncultured eukaryote
Lineage: Eukaryota
Description: partial 18S ribosomal RNA
Rfam family: Eukaryotic small subunit ribosomal RNA
Source: RNAcentral
CAAUAGUGUAUAUUAAAGUUGUUGCAGUUAAAAAGCUCGUAGUUGGAUUUCGGAGCGGGCCAGUUGGUCCGCCGCAAGGUGUGUUACUGACUGGUCUGUUCUUCUUCGCAAAGACUGCGUGUGCUCUUCGCUGAGUGUGCGUAGGAUUUACGACGUUUACUUUGAAAAAAUUAGAGUGUUCAAAGCAGGCUGUCGCUUGAAUACAUUAGCAUGGAAUAAUGAGAUAGGACUUUGGUGGUCUAUUUUGUUGGUUUGCACGCCGAAGUAAUGAUUAAUAGGGGCGGUUGGGGGUAUUCGUAUUCAAUUGUCAGAGGUGAAAUUCUUGGAUUUAUGGAAGACGAACUACUGCGAAAGCAUUUACCAAGGAUGUUUUCAUUAA